GAACCAGGGGCCAGAAUGAACCCUUCCAGGUCACAGACCCCAGCAGGCCCCACCUCCUAGCAGCAAGGCUAAUCCACAAAUGACUAUAGAACCCGCAUGAUCCGAUUACCUUCCAAAUAGUUCAGAGGACAUUUUUAGAUGCACUACGAAAGACGAGGUAUGACAAAGAAGAGCUGCUGUGUUUGGGGUGGAAGGCUUCUCUGAGGAGGCUGGAGGCAUCACGCCCAAGAUCAGGAGAGCUCCCCUGCACAUUCGAGGAGGAGAGGGAAGACACAACAGAAGACAUGGCACACUUCCCUCCAUCCCAGAUGGGAAGGACAGCCACAGGCUGGCUGCCCAAGGUGAGAAUCAGGCUUUACAUCAGCGACAAAGCAGAGGAAUGACAGGACCAGAAUGAGCAUAUUCCAAGACCUGAGAGUGACCACACAUUAUGACAGUCAUGCUGAGAAGAGGCGGAGGAAGUCCACCCUUUAGAGGUAACACUCCAGUGAGGAGAACGUGCUGUUUUAUGCCUCUAUUCCAACAAGGUACCCUGUGGAUGGGAAGUCACAUAACAGAUUUGUGUCCUAUCAAGUUGCCUCCACCCGAAAACAGCUGCAAUGCUUAUCUAAUUAAACCCCAGCACCAAACUGUGAGCCUCAGCAUAAAUCAUUAAUAUUGUAUUUUGGAUCACUUUAAAUUCUGACUGGGGGUCGGUGGUAUCCAGCACACUGGUCUCCAAAGAAGAUUUUUCAAAUAAUCUUUAAGCGGCACUGAAAAAAACAAAACAAGCUGCCUGCUGUUCAAUGAGGACUCCGCUAUCCUGCUGCACCCUGAUUAGCUGUUAACACUAAUUGAGAGAUGGAUAUUGCUUAUUGUAAAAAUGCUAAAGACUUUUUUUUAUUAUCUGAAAGAAGUACAGUUCUCCUCACCUCAAAAAAUGUGUCUGUGGCUCUUUGCCCAAAUUGUAAACAGCAUCAGAAGAAUGGUGGUUUCUGGGCCUGUUGUCCUGGGUUUGCAGAGUCAUUAUUCUGAACCACUUCUUUCCUCAUGGUGCCCAUCCACAAGUCAGCAAAAUGUGAACUCCACAAGGGAUUUGCACAUGUACACCCUACAUUUGGAACAUGGAAGCGCUCUUCACACAGCUCAGAUGGCCCAGAAAUAUUUACGUAAAUCUCCAUCCCAGUAAGGCACAUGUUGAUGCACUCGGGUUUAAGCUCAUAAACCAAGAGGAAGAGCUUUCUGUAUCCCCAUUCUAAUAAAUGAAAGCCAACAGGCCACGCCAAAUGGGACAAUUUAGACAUAGAGAGAUUGGCCAAAGCUAAAUGAAUAUCUGCUUCCUUCUGGCAUUCUAGGAAAGAUACCAAGCCACUGUGCCAAAGCACACUGCUCUUCUUUGUUAGGAAAAUACUCUGAUCUGCUCAAAAUAGGGGGUAUCAAUCACCCCAGCAUCAAAAAAGAUGUAUGCAAGAGAGACUCCUUAAUGAGGAACAGUUGACGGCAGAAAUACAGCAUCAACCUAGCUCCGUAUUAACACAGCUUAAAAACUAUGAAGAAAUCAGACAAAGCAGCUGAACCAUGAGGUUCUCGUUCUCAUAAGCCAAGGUUGGUGGAUACUUUGCCAGGGUACUGCCUGGCACUCAGCCACAUCUGCUAAAGAGAGGUGGGAAACCUGAGAGAAAAAUAAAUAGGAGAAGGAGGUUUGUUGAAGAGGAACCAAAUAUAAGGAAAAUAUCAAGGUACCAGGAAAACUUCCUGGAGAGAAGAGACUGAAAGAUUAGGGAAUAAUCUGAAAGACCACAUGAAAGAUUCCUGCCCACGGGGGCAGUGAUAAUCAAAGGCAUCUCCUGAGACUACCAGAAGGUCAAAACAGAUCAGGGCAUGGAGAUUUGGAUUGUUUCAACUCAGCUGAGUAGAAACUACAUUUCCCAGAAUCCAUCUGCCUACACAAUCCGGGGAUAUGGUAUGGAUGAUUGGGCAGCUGGAGUCAAGUGCAGCCAUAUUGCUUUCCAGGCUUUGAAACGCAGAGCAGGGCAGAAGCGUACUGUUCAUCUGCAUGUGCACCUGCUGCUGCUUCAUCUCUCACUCCUGCUGAACACCUUCGUUCAGCUCUGUGACUGCAAGGCUGAGCAGUUGCCAGCUGCUCCUGGUAGCAUCGGCAUCCUCAGCAAUGCAGAUUAGGAGGUCAGUAGAUGUCAACACGGAUUCUAUCCCACCCUUAUGGAUUCCAGAUAGUGCCUCUGGAUCAAGUUUAUCUUUGCCUUCUCCAUUUCACAGCCAUCUUCCCUCCUGGAACCUCCACCCACACACAGUCCUGUCAGUGGGACUUCCUUGAAAGUGCUUAGGAAGAAGAGUGGUAUUCCUUGAUCUGUAGUUAUUUAAUUAAGGCAUUCUGGAUGAUAUCUCAUUAAGCAUUCUAGGUGACUCCUCAUACAAUUCUGUGGGGGUGGGGCUAGGAAACUGGCACCAAGAUGCUCUUUGAAUAAUAAACAGCUUCUGAUCCAGAGAUCUCAUGUUUGCUUCCUAUUAGAACACAGAGAUAU
Fukomys damarensis (Damara mole-rat) is the source of this 2522-nucleotide long non-coding RNA. RefSeq lists it as uncharacterized. The transcript is spliced from 3 exons. NCBI's taxonomy places the organism in Eukaryota, Metazoa, Chordata, Mammalia, Rodentia, Bathyergidae. The record is from RefSeq and is a predicted model, not a curated record.